Molecule: ribosomal RNA, 618 nt
Filed under: bacterium 86-L049642-122-014-F11
Lineage: Bacteria
Description: bacterial SSU rRNA
Rfam family: Bacterial small subunit ribosomal RNA
Source: RNAcentral
CAGUCGAACGAUGAUGCCCUGCUUGCAGGGUGGAUUAGUGGCGAACGGGUGAGUAACACGUGGGUGAUCUGCCCCGCACUUCGGGAUAAGCCUGGGAAACUGGGUCUAAUACCGGAUACGACCCCCUGGUAGGUCAGGGGGUGGAAAGAUUUUAUCGGUGUGGGAUGAGCCUGCGGCCUAUCAUCUUGUUGGUGGGGUAAUGGCCUACCAAGGCGUCGACGGGUAGCCGGCCUGAUAGGGUGAUCGGCCACCUUGGGACUGAUACACGGCCCACACUCCUACGGGAGGCAGCAGUGGGGAAUAUUGCACAAUGGGCGCAAGCCUGAUGCAGCGACGCCGCGUGGGGGAUGACGGCCUUCGGGUUGUAAACUCCUUUCGACAGGGACGAAGCUAAUGUGACGGUACCUGUAGAAGAAGCACCGGCUAACUACUUGCCAGCAGCCGCGGUAAUACGUAGGGUGCGAGCGUUGUCCGGAAUUACUGGGCGUAAAGAGCUCGUAGGUGGUUUGUCGCGUCGUCUGUGAAAUCCCGGGGCUUAUCCUCGGGCGUGCAGGCGAUACGGGCAUAACUUGAGUGCUGUAAGGGAGACUGGAAUUCCUGGUGUAGCGGUGAAAUGCG